RNAcentral lists this ribosomal RNA (1343 nucleotides) under uncultured bacterium. RNAcentral describes it as "16S ribosomal RNA". It matches the Rfam family "Bacterial small subunit ribosomal RNA", at positions 28 to 1378 of the family's 1533-position model. The record is from RNAcentral.
GACGAACGCUUGCGGCGUGCUUAACACAUGCAAGUCGAACGGAAAGGCCCUGCUUUUGUGGGGUGCUCGAGUGGCGAACGGGUGAGUAACACGUGAGUAACCUGCCCUUGACUUUGGGAUAACUUCAGGAAACUGGGGCUAAUACCGGAUAGGAGCUCCUGCUGCAUGGUGGGGGUUGGAAAGUUUCGGCGGUUGGGGAUGGACUCGCGGCUUAUCAGCUUGUUGGUGGGGUAGUGGCUCACCAAGGCUUUGACGGGUAGCCGGCCUGAGAGGGUGACCGGCCACAUUGGGACUGAGAUACGGCCCAGACUCCUACGGGAGGCAGCAGUGGGGAAUAUUGCACAAUGGGCGGAAGCCUGAUGCAGCAACGCCGCGUGCGGGAUGACGGCCUUCGGGUUGUAAACCGCUUUCGCCUGUGACGAAGCGUGAGUGACGGUAAUGGGUAAAGAAGCACCGGCUAACUACGUGCCAGCAGCCGCGGUGAUACGUAGGGUGCGAGCGUUGUCCGGAUUUAUUGGGCGUAAAGGGCUCGUAGGUGGUUGAUCGCGUCGGAAGUGUAAUCUUGGGGCUUAACCCUGAGCGUGCUUUCGAUACGGGUUGACUUGAGGAAGGUAGGGGAGAAUGGAAUUCCUGGUGGAGCGGUGGAAUGCGCAGAUAUCAGGAGGAACACCAGUGGCGAAGGCGGUUCUCUGGGCCUUUCCUGACGCUGAGGAGCGAAAGCGUGGGGAGCGAACAGGCUUAGAUACCCUGGUAGUCCACGCUGUAAACGGUGGGUACUAGGUGUGGGGUCCAUUCCACGGGUUCCGUGCCGUAGCUAACGCUUUAAGUACCCCGCCUGGGGAGUACGGCCGCAAGGCUAAAACUCAAAGGAAUUGACGGGGCCCCGCACAAGCGGCGGAGCAUGCGGAUUAAUUCGAUGCAACGCGUAGAACCUUACCUGGGUUUGACAUGGAUCGGGAGUACUCAGAGAUGGGUGUGCCUCUUUUGGGGUCGGUUCACAGGUGGUGCAUGGCUGUCGUCAGCUCGUGUCGUGAGAUGUUGGGUUAAGUCCCGCAACGAGCGCAACCCUUGUUCACUGUUGCCAGCACGUUAUGGUGGGGACUCAGUGGAGACCGCCGGGGUCAACUCGGAGGAAGGUGGGGAUGACGUCAAGUCAUCAUGCCCCUUAUGUCCAGGGCUUCACGCAUGCUACAAUGGCUGGUACAGAGAGUGGCGAGCCUGUGAGGGUGAGCGAAUCUCGGAAAGCCGGUCUCAGUUCGGAUUGGGGUCUGCAACUCGACCUCAUGAAGUCGGAGUCGCUAGUAAUCGCAGAUCAGCAACGCUGCGGUGAAUACGUUCCCGGG